GCUGGGCAUGGUAGCGCAUGCCUGUAAUCCCAAUGGUUUGGGAGGCUGAGGCAGGAGGAUCAUGAUUCAAAGCCAGUCUCAGCAACUUAGCAAGACCCUAAGCAACUUAGUGAGACCCUGUCUCUA
Molecule: small RNA, 126 nt
Filed under: Marmota monax (woodchuck)
Lineage: Eukaryota; Metazoa; Chordata; Mammalia; Rodentia; Sciuridae
Source: RNAcentral